UGGUUAUCUCGCCUCCCUGUCACGGAGGAGAUCGUCGGUUCAAAUCCGUCAUGGACCG
RNAcentral lists this transfer RNA (58 nucleotides) under Ligilactobacillus equi DPC 6820. RNAcentral describes it as "Lactobacillus equi DPC 6820 tRNA". It matches the Rfam family "tRNA", at positions 16 to 71 of the family's 71-position model. Rfam says of the family: Transfer RNA (tRNA) molecules are approximately 80 nucleotides in length. Their secondary structure includes four short double-helical elements and three loops (D, anti-codon, and T loops). Lineage: Bacteria; Bacillati; Bacillota; Bacilli; Lactobacillales; Lactobacillaceae. The record is from Rfam by way of RNAcentral.